RNAcentral lists this long non-coding RNA (226 nucleotides) under Homo sapiens (human). RNAcentral describes it as "HSALNT0311067". Lineage: Eukaryota; Metazoa; Chordata; Mammalia; Primates; Hominidae. The record is from RNAcentral.
AAAACAUCCUCCCACCUCAGCCUCCCAAGUAGCUGGGAAUACAGGAGAGGAAGAAACAAGGCACAGGGGAGCUUGAGUACCUGGGACUGGCCUGUGAUGAAGCUGGGAUCUCACUGCAGUUAGAUGUGCUGGGGAUUAAACUGUGCCUGGGAAUUUGCAUUCCAGAAGAGAAGGAUAUUGAACUAGAAGGAUAGGUUUGCAAGUGAAUACUGUAUUAAGAUGUGAA